AUCCAGCUGACGAGUCCCAAUUAGUACGAAACGCACGUCCUGGAU
Molecule: non-coding RNA, 45 nt
Organism: Schistosoma mansoni
Lineage: Eukaryota; Metazoa; Platyhelminthes; Trematoda; Strigeidida; Schistosomatidae
Source: Rfam